CCGAGAUAGGGGUACAAAUCCUGCCAAAGGCGUUUCCCUGGACCUAAGCGAUGAUGCGCAAGCUAGCGACGACUCUCGGCGUGUAGAGGGGGCGAGUUCCGAUUCGAAGGGAAGCCCCUCUCAC
RNAcentral lists this non-coding RNA (124 nucleotides) under unclassified sequences. RNAcentral describes it as "Flavobacterium-1 RNA". It matches the Rfam family "Flavobacterium-1 RNA". The record is from Rfam by way of RNAcentral.